UCAACGCUGGCGGCGUGCCUAACACAUGCAAGUCGAACGCGAAAGUCCCGCAAGGGAUUAGUAGAGUGGCAAACGGGUGAGUAACGCGUGGGUGACCUGCCUUUGAGUGGGGGAUAACGUUUCGAAAGGAACGCUAAUACCGCAUAAUAUGCCGUCUUUUAAGAGAUGGACAUCAAAGCCUGGGACCGCAAGGCCAGGCGCUUAAAGAGGGGCCCGCGUCCGAUUAGCUAGUUGGUGGGGUAAUGGCUCACCAAGGCAACGAUCGGUAGCCGGCCUGAGAGGGCGGACGGCCACACUGGGACUGAGACACGGCCCAGACUCCUACGGGGAGGCAGCAGUGGGGAAUAUUGCGCAAUGGACGAAAGUCUGACGCAGCGACGCCGCGUGUGGGAUGAAGGCCUUUCGGGGCGUAAACCACUGUUGCCCGGGACGAACCUCCCCAUUCGUGGGGACUGACGGUACCGGGUGAGGAAGCACCGGCUAACUCUGCGCCAGCAG
Molecule: ribosomal RNA, 498 nt
Filed under: uncultured bacterium
Lineage: Bacteria
Description: bacterial SSU rRNA
Rfam family: Bacterial small subunit ribosomal RNA
Source: RNAcentral